AUCGCUUCUCAGCCUUUUGGCUAAGAUCAAGUGUAGUAUCUGAUAUGACAAGUUGCUCUGGGCUCACUGUGUGUAUUUCCUGUGCCAGGCCGGGAGUCAGCCAUUUCUCCAGGAAACCCUGGUUUCAUUUCCUGGGAAGUGGUAGUGAUCAUAGUCUGUUACCACCA
This 167-nucleotide small nuclear RNA is filed under the name Cervus elaphus hippelaphus. Its description in RNAcentral is "U2 spliceosomal RNA". It matches the Rfam family "U2 spliceosomal RNA". From Rfam's summary of the family: U2 is a small nuclear RNA (snRNA) component of the spliceosome (involved in pre-mRNA splicing). Complementary binding between U2 snRNA (in an area lying towards the 5' end but 3' to hairpin I) and the branchpoint sequence (BPS) of the intron results the bulging out of an unpaired adenosine, on the BPS, which initiates a nucleophilic attack at the intronic 5' splice site, thus starting the first of two transesterification reactions that mediate splicing. Lineage: Eukaryota; Metazoa; Chordata; Mammalia; Artiodactyla; Cervidae. RNAcentral also lists the same sequence under 1 other name. The record is from Rfam by way of RNAcentral.